This 445-nucleotide ribosomal RNA is filed under the name uncultured bacterium. RNAcentral's name for it is "partial 16S ribosomal RNA". It matches the Rfam family "Bacterial small subunit ribosomal RNA", at positions 354 to 796 of the family's 1533-position model. The record is from RNAcentral.
GUGAGGAAUAUUGGUCAAUGGGCGAGAGCCUGAACCAGCCAAGUCGCGUGAAGGAAGAAGGAUCUAUGGUUCGUAAACUUCUUUUGCAGGGGAAUAAAGUACGGUACGUGUACCGUUUUGUAUGUACUCUGCGAAUAAGGAUCGGCUAACUCCGUGCCAGCAGCCGCGGUAAUACGGAGGAUCCAAGCGUUAUCCGGAUUUAUUGGGUUUAAAGGGUGCGCAGGCGGGUUGAUAAGUCAGCGGUGAAAGUUUGCAGCUUAACUGUAAAAUUGCCGUUGAAACUGUCGAUCUUGAGUGCAAAUGAGGUAAGCGGAAUGUGUUGUGUAGCGGUGAAAUGCUUAGAUAUAACACAGAACACCGAUUGCGAAGGCAGCUUACUGGGAUGCAACUGACGCUCAUGCACGAAAGCGUGGGGAUCAAACAGGAUUAGAUACCCCAGUAGUCC